This 212-nucleotide long non-coding RNA is filed under the name Physcomitrium patens. Its description in RNAcentral is "long non-coding RNA (PPAT_LNC011250)". The record is from RNAcentral. Lineage: Eukaryota; Viridiplantae; Streptophyta; Bryopsida; Funariales; Funariaceae.
UGUGUGUGUGUAUUACUUACUACUAUUCUUAUCUCUUUCUAAAUAUUCUCAAUACAUUAUCAGCAUGACUCUCUUUUACACACUAUCACAAUUUUUUUUUUUUUUGCUCUAGUCUUAAUUCUUCAAACCAAUUGCUACUCUUGCUCAAUUUCUGCCUCAUGAUCUUAAUGAUCUUCUUGCUAGUCCUUCACACAUUAGCUGCUUACUUAGAG